GAUGAAGAACGUAGCGAAAUGCGAUAAGUAAUGUGAAUUGCAGAAUUAAGUGAAUCAUCGAAUCUUUGAACGCACAUUGCGCCCGCCAGCACUCUGGCGGGCAUGCCUGUCCGAGCGUCAUUUACCACCCUCGGGCCCCCUGGGGGGCCCGGUGCUGGGGGCACGGCCCAGGCCGCCCCCGAAAUGCAGUGGCGACCCCGCCGCGUCCUCCCCUGCGCAGUAGCACAAUCUCGCACCGGAAGCGCGGAGGCGGUCACGCCUGGAAACGCCCCAACUCAACGCAGUUGACCUCGGAUCAGGUAGGAGUACCCGCUGAACUUAAGCAUAUCAAUAAGCGGAGGA
RNAcentral lists this unclassified non-coding RNA (342 nucleotides) under soil metagenome. RNAcentral's name for it is "partial contains 5.8S ribosomal RNA, internal transcribed spacer 2, and large subunit ribosomal RNA". The stretch from base 1 to 120 matches the Rfam family "5.8S ribosomal RNA", at positions 35 to 154 of the family's 154-position model. The record is from RNAcentral.